ACCUACGGGGGGCAGCAGUGGGGAAUAUUGCACAAUGGGGGAAACCCUGAUGCAGCAACGCCGCGUGAGUGAGGAAGUAUUUCGGUAUGUAAAGCUCUAUCAGCAGGGAAUAGAAAAGAAGGUACCUGAAAAAGAAGCCCCGGCUAACUACGUGCCAGCAGCCGCGGUAAUACGUAGGAGGCAAGCGUUAUCCGGAAUGACUGGGCGUAAAGGGUGCGUAGGUGGUUUGGCAAGUUGGUAGCGUAAUCCCGGGGCUCAACCUCGGUGCUACUACCAAAACUGCUGGGCUUGAGUGCAGGAGGGGG
This 305-nucleotide ribosomal RNA is filed under the name uncultured bacterium. RNAcentral describes it as "bacterial SSU rRNA". It matches the Rfam family "Bacterial small subunit ribosomal RNA", at positions 337 to 658 of the family's 1533-position model. The record is from RNAcentral.